RNAcentral lists this ribosomal RNA (253 nucleotides) under uncultured bacterium. Its description in RNAcentral is "partial 16S ribosomal RNA". It matches the Rfam family "Bacterial small subunit ribosomal RNA", at positions 524 to 776 of the family's 1533-position model. The record is from RNAcentral.
UACGUAGGGCGCAAGCGUUAUCCGGAAUUAUUGGGCGUAAAGAGCUCGUAGGCGGUUUGUCGCGUCUGCCGUGAAAGUCCGGGGCUCAACUCCGGAUCUGCGGUGGGUACGGGCAGACUAGAGUAUGGCAGGGGAGACUGGAAUUCCUGGUGUAGCGGUGAAAUGCGCAGAUAUCAGGAGGAACACCGGUGGCGAAGGCGGGUCUCUGGGCCAUAACUGACGCUGAGGAGCGAAAGCGCGGGGAGCGAACAGG